UACGGAGGAUGCAAGCGUUAUCCGGAAUGAUUGGGCGUAAAGCGUCCGCAGGUGGCUGUGUAAGUCUGCUGUUAAAUAGUGAGGCUCAACCUCAUAAAGGCAGUGGAAACUACACGGCUAGAGUGCGUUCGGGGCAGAGGGAAUUCCUGGUGUAGCGGUGAAAUGCGUAGAGAUCAGGAAGAACACCGGUGGCGAAAGCGCUCUGCUAGGCCGCAACUGACACUGAGGGACGAAAGCUAGGGGAGCGAAUGGG
RNAcentral lists this ribosomal RNA (253 nucleotides) under Hassallia andreassenii. RNAcentral describes it as "partial 16S ribosomal RNA". It matches the Rfam family "Bacterial small subunit ribosomal RNA", at positions 524 to 776 of the family's 1533-position model. RNAcentral also lists the same sequence under 1 other name. Lineage: Bacteria; Bacillati; Cyanobacteriota; Cyanophyceae; Nostocales; Tolypothrichaceae. The record is from RNAcentral.